Molecule: long non-coding RNA, 888 nt
Filed under: Pan troglodytes (chimpanzee)
Lineage: Eukaryota; Metazoa; Chordata; Mammalia; Primates; Hominidae
Description: long non-coding RNA NONPTRT010640
Source: RNAcentral
CUGAUUUUCAUUUGCAUACAUUUUCAUAUAUUUUGGUGAAAAUAAUAGACUAGUGGAGAGCUGGGCUUCGAGGCGUCAGUGUGAAGGGAAGGCUAAGGACGCAUCGGUGCUGGAGAGUUGAGAAUAUGCCUUCCCCUCCACCCUCAACCCAGUCACCUUAUUUGAAAAAAAAUUAAAAAACACCUUUUAUUUAAAAACCUAACCCUGGAAGUUUGCUCGCUGCCCGAAAAUCAUAAGCGUGGUUUUUCCUGUUUCCUGCUCUGUAGCUGACAUCAGGGGAGCAAUGUGAACACAGGAAAAUGGAAAUCAACAUUUGAAACUUUUAAAUGGAAGCUUUAUUGGGUUUCCACAUAUGGAAAACUGCAAAUAGCAGAAGUAUGUGACUCAAUAAAUUAUUCUGGAGUGACCACAUCCUCUAACUGCCUCCCAGGACAAGAAGGAGAAUGUGAACAAUGCUCCUGAAGGCCCCUUUCCCUCAAAGAAUCACUGCAAUUGAAGGAAAAAUGCUCCAUGUCCCCUCUGCCAGUUGGUGUUUAUCAAAGGACAACGGAGGAAGAGAGACAAAGUGCCUGGAUGUGUGUGUUAAUCAAGAGUUGUCAGGACCCUGCCUCUAAAAGAAAGCGCUAAAAUGAUGCUUUUGACAAGACUUUUCUCAAAGUGGAUGCAGUCUAAGGGUUGGAAAACAAGGCCCAAUCAGGCUAGGUCUGACUUGUCGCCUGCUUUUGUAAAUAAAGUUUUAUUGGCUCACAGACACACUUAUUUGUUUCUGUAUUAUCUAUGGCUGCUUUCGCGCCACAACAUGGAGCAGUUGUGGAAGAGACCAUAUGGCCGACAAAGCCUAAGAUAUUUACUCUCUGGCUCUUGACGGGAAAAGUUUGCCAAUUCCUG